This 499-nucleotide long non-coding RNA is filed under the name Bos taurus (domestic cattle). RNAcentral's name for it is "long non-coding RNA NONBTAT000548". The record is from RNAcentral. Lineage: Eukaryota; Metazoa; Chordata; Mammalia; Artiodactyla; Bovidae.
GUGAAAAGAAGGGGGAUGCUAUUCUUCACUUUCCCCAAUUUAUCCACUUAGCUGACAGCAAUUCAGGUGUUGUCCCUGAAUAAUUUGUGAAAAUGUGCCCUUCUAGGCUUUCCGUGGGCUGUGACCAGAUUCUAUUUGAUCUCCACCUCAUUAUUCAAUGGCAGUGCACUCCAGGUUCAGCAGUCAGCAGUGAUGCGUUGAGCAGGGGUGAGUGGCUGGCCCAUUACCACUCAUAAGCCUUUUACCAAAGACAGCUCCCACUGAGCGAAGCGAACAAGACUCCAACUGGCUACAAAGUGGGUUUCGGAUAAAAACUCAUUACUCUCCAAAAUCUAGCUCAAAGACCAGAGAGUUAUCCUGAGGAGGCUACAGUCAAGUUCACCUAAUUACCAAUUACACUCUAUCUUCCUUCCUCUUCUCUCUAAUUUAAUCCCUUAAAUUCCUCUUUUGAAAUGUUAACAGCUGGAAUAGUUUUGAUCAGAAACACAACCCAUCAUAG